GGGGUUGUGGCUCAGUGGUAGAGCGCUUAUCUGACGUGUGAGGCACUGGGUUCAAUUCUCAGCACCA
Ictidomys tridecemlineatus (thirteen-lined ground squirrel) is the source of this 67-nucleotide non-coding RNA. Lineage: Eukaryota; Metazoa; Chordata; Mammalia; Rodentia; Sciuridae. The record is from Rfam.